GCUAUACAUGCAAGUCGAGCGCAGGAAGUCAUCCGAACCCUUCGGGGGGACGUUGACGGAAUGAGCGGCGGACGGGUGAGUAACACGUAAAGAACCUGCCCUCAGGUCUGGGAUAACCACGAGAAAUCGGGGCUAAUACCGGAUGGGUCAUCGGACCGCAUGGUCCGAGGAUGAAAGGCGCUCCGGCGUCGCCUGGGGAUGGCUUUGCGGUGCAUUAGCUAGUUGGUGGGGUAACGGCCCACCAAGGCGACGAUGCAUAGCCGACCUGAGAGGGUGAUCGGCCACACUGGGACUGAGACACGGCCCAGACUCCUACGGGAGGCAGCAGUAGGGAAUCUUCCACAAUGGACGAAAGUCUGAUGGAGCAACGCCGCGUGAACGAUGAAGGCCCUCGGGUCGUAAAGUUCUGUUGUAAGGGAAGAACAAGUGCCGCAGGCAAUGGCGGCACCUUGACGGUACCUUGCGAGAAAGCCACGGCUAACUACGUGCCAGCAGCCGCGGUAAUACGUAGGUGGCAAGCGUUGUCCGGAAUUAUUGGGCGUAAAGCGCGCGCAGGCGGCCUCUUAAGUCUGAUGUGAAAGCCCCCGGCUCAACCGGGGAGGGCCAUUGGAAACUGGGAGGCUUGAGUAUAGGAGAGAAGAGUGGAAUUCCACGUGUAGCGGUGAAAUGCGUAGAGAUGUGGAGGAACACC
Molecule: ribosomal RNA, 691 nt
Filed under: Exiguobacterium sp. MR-R5
Lineage: Bacteria; Bacillati; Bacillota; Bacilli; Caryophanales
Description: bacterial SSU rRNA
Rfam family: Bacterial small subunit ribosomal RNA
Source: RNAcentral